UUCUGAGCAUAAACAUCUAAGCCAAUUGCAUAGACGAUCUCAUUUCUCAAGCACAGUCCAUUUGACUUCUCUACAUAACAAAGCCAAUCGUUGCUUCAACUAUCAACAGGUUUAUUGUAGCUCAACUCACGCAGACAAUCAUCCUGAAAGAGAGCAAAUAUUAAGAGAACAUAAUUCAUAGACUUGCUCAACUGUUUAUCAUAAUAACAAUGUUCCUAAGUUCGUUCAUUUCACCUUCCAUUUAUUGCCCAUUUAGAUUAAACCAGACACGUCCUGGAAGCUAAAUCCUUUUUCCCUAUUUUAGGAAACAGACAAAGGAAUCAAAUACAAAUCCAAAAGACAAGAAUGACCCAACAAAAUCCCAGCAAGAAUCAUCAAUGAAGGAGAAAUUUAACGCAAAAUUAGAUGGGAGGGAAGGAGAUUUAAUUAUUUCGUUUCCUUUUAAUCGUUUCUUGGGUGGGAAAGAAAGAAUACAAAGAGUUAAAACUUACAAAACAUGGGUCGUAGUCGUUUAAGCUUCUGCUCUGAUAUCUAGAACUGGAAACUUGGGUUAGCAAAGGGAUCGAUUCAUUCCGCUUCAUAAUCUGUAAAAAUGCUGCGCCAUUUUCAGUGUUAAGUUUGAGUUCCGCUUACAUUCGGUUUUUUCAUAGUCGGUUCGAAAAUGAAAUAAACAAACCGAUUUCUUUUCGGUUUGUUUCAA
Molecule: long non-coding RNA, 700 nt
Organism: Cucumis sativus (cucumber)
Lineage: Eukaryota; Viridiplantae; Streptophyta; Magnoliopsida; Cucurbitales; Cucurbitaceae
Exons: 2
Source: RefSeq, a predicted model, not a curated record